GUGACUGUUCUUGGUAAAGAUGGCAUUGUUAGUUGUACAGUGCCACCAUAGACAGUCACAUACAUAAAAACAGACGGUUCCUGCCGACAGGGUCUGUAUAGCUAUCAGAUUUUCUGUGCGAUGGUUCCAUACAUG
This is a non-coding RNA of Nycticebus coucang (slow loris), 135 nucleotides long. The record is from RefSeq and is a predicted model, not a curated record. NCBI's taxonomy places the organism in Eukaryota, Metazoa, Chordata, Mammalia, Primates, Lorisidae.